Molecule: ribosomal RNA, 253 nt
Filed under: uncultured bacterium
Lineage: Bacteria
Description: partial 16S ribosomal RNA
Rfam family: Bacterial small subunit ribosomal RNA
Source: RNAcentral
UACGUAGGGUGCAAGCGUUGUCCGGAAUUAUUGAGCGUAAAGAGCUCGUAGGCGGUUCGUCACGUCGGCUGUGAAAUCCCGAGGCUCAACCUCGGGUCUGCAGUCGAUACGGGCGGACUUGAGUACUGCAGGGGAGACUGGAAUUCCUGGUGUAGCGGUGAAAUGCGCAGAUAUCAGGAGGAACACCGGUGGCGAAGGCGGGUCUCUGGGCAGUAACUGACGCUGAGGAGCGAAAGCGUGGGGAGCGAACAGG